UACGUAGGGUGCAAGCGUUGUCCGGAAUUAUUGGGCGUAAAGAGCUCGUAGGCGGUUUGUCGCGUCGAAUGUGAAACCCGGGGCUCAACCCCGGGCCUGCAUUCGAUACGGGCAGACUAGAGUUCGGUGAGGGGAGACUGGAAUUCCUGGUGUAGCGGUGAAAUGCGCAGAUAUCAGGAGGAACACCGGUGGCGAAGGCGGAUCUCUGGGCCAUAACUGACGCUGAGGAGCGAAAGCAUGGGGAGCGAACAGGG
Molecule: ribosomal RNA, 254 nt
Filed under: uncultured bacterium
Lineage: Bacteria
Description: partial 16S ribosomal RNA
Rfam family: Bacterial small subunit ribosomal RNA
Source: RNAcentral